AUGAACCGCCGGUUCGUGAAUCUGCUGGUGGAUAAGUUUAGCGCGCCCCGACCCGCCAUCAAGCUGCACCGCAUCGACCCCGCGACCUUGUUCUACCCCACGGGAUCACCAAAACCAGCAGAUCCUGUAGCAGGUCCGGCUCCGGGGAGGCUGCCUCCAGCCGCCAUGUCCUUCGACCGGCCAUGUGAGCGGCACCACACAGGGUGGAUCGAUUUCAUGGCCUUCAAGAAGAGCAUCGUCGUCGCCGUGGACAACAAGGGCCGCACCCUCCUCUACGACAGCGCCGCUCGGGCCGUCCGCGCCGUGAACCUGAUGCAGCCCCCUCUUGACUCGCCCCGCGUGUUCGUGGGCAUGGGCGACCGCCUGUACGUCAUGGAGAUCGAGGAUGGCCUGCCGUCCCGGCUUCGGUGGUUCCAUGCCCUCAUCUACGCCCCCCCGCCCGAUUUCCUCGGCCAGCACGAUUGGUAUUGGCGCCCUUUCGACCUGCCCACCUUUGAUCACCCCGACGCUGAUCGCGACUCGGAUAAGUACAAGGAGACGCCGUCGCCACACCCCUGUGCUAUCUGUGCCUUCACGGUGGUAGGCGACUCGCAGAUCUGGGCGUCCACGGUGGCCGCUGGCACGUACUCAUUUGACACUGUGAGCAGCGAGUGGAGCAAGGUCGGCGCGUGGGUGUUGCCAUUCAGAGGCCGCGCCGUGUAUGUUCCUGAGUACAAGCUCUGGUUUGGCUUCUCGGACGAGGACGACAGGCUCUGCGCGGCCGACCUCACUUUGACACAGCCGGUGCUGGAGAAGGUGUGGGAAGAAGACCCACCUCCGCUCGAGGCGUGUUCCGUGACAGCGUCCCACCUCCUGCCUUUGGGCUCCGGCAGGUUAUGUGUGGUCAGGAUGUUCGUGAAGACUGAAGAGAUGGGGAGCUUUGCAGUGAUGUCCGGCGUCGAGGUUUUGAGGGAUGGCGGCUCCGGGAGCCUCCGAAUGAUCAAGCACAAGUGCAGACGUUACAACUUCGGA
This 1011-nucleotide ribosomal RNA is filed under the name Triticum aestivum (bread wheat). RNAcentral's name for it is "partial small subunit ribosomal RNA". Lineage: Eukaryota; Viridiplantae; Streptophyta; Magnoliopsida; Poales; Poaceae. The record is from RNAcentral.